UGGGGAAUAUUGGACAAUGGGGGGAACCCUGAUCCAGCCAUGCCGCGUGUGUGAAGAAGGCCUUUUGGUUGUAAAGCACUUUAAGCGAGGAGGAGGAGCUCUAGAUUAAUACUCUAGAUGCUUGGACGUUACUCGCAGAAUAAGCACCGGCUAACUCUGUGCCAGCAGCCGCGGUAAUACAGAGGGUGCAAGCGUUAAUCGGAUUUACUGGGCGUAAAGCGUGCGUAGGUGGUCUUUUAAGUCGGAUGUGAAAUCCCUGAGCUUAACUUAGGAAUUGCAUUCGAUACUGGGAGACUAGAGUAUGGGAGAGGAUGGUAGAAUUCCAGGUGUAGCGGUGAAAUGCGUAGAGAUCUGGAGGAAUACCGAUGGCGAAGGCAGCCAUCUGGCCUAAUACUGACACUGAGGUACGAAAGCAUGGGGAGCAAACA
Molecule: ribosomal RNA, 428 nt
Filed under: Microvirga ossetica
Lineage: Bacteria; Pseudomonadati; Pseudomonadota; Alphaproteobacteria; Hyphomicrobiales; Methylobacteriaceae
Also listed under: 3 other names
Description: partial 16S ribosomal RNA
Rfam family: Bacterial small subunit ribosomal RNA
Source: RNAcentral